GCACAAGUGGUCUAGCGAUAGAAUAGUACCCUACCAUGGUACAGACCUGGGUUUGAUUCCUAGUUGGUGCA
This 71-nucleotide transfer RNA is filed under the name Lupinus angustifolius (narrow-leaved blue lupine). It matches the Rfam family "tRNA". Rfam says of the family: Transfer RNA (tRNA) molecules are approximately 80 nucleotides in length. Their secondary structure includes four short double-helical elements and three loops (D, anti-codon, and T loops). Further hydrogen bonds mediate the characteristic L-shaped molecular structure. tRNAs have two regions of fundamental functional importance: the anti-codon, which is responsible for specific mRNA codon recognition, and the 3' end, to which the tRNAs corresponding amino acid is attached (by aminoacyl-tRNA synthetases). tRNAs cope with the degeneracy of the genetic code in two manners: having more than one tRNA (with a specific anti-codon) for a particular amino acid; and 'wobble' base-pairing, i.e. permitting non-standard base-pairing at the 3rd anti-codon position. The record is from Rfam by way of RNAcentral. Lineage: Eukaryota; Viridiplantae; Streptophyta; Magnoliopsida; Fabales; Fabaceae.